AACGUACGCUGGCGGCACGCCUAACACAUGCAAGUCGAACGAAGUAGCAAUACUUAGUGGCAGACGGGUGAGUAACAUGUAGGUAUCUGCCCUUUGGCCUGGAAUAACACGAGGAAACUUGUGCUAAUACUGGAUAAGUCUUUACGGAGAAAGCUUUAUGCACCAUUGGAUGAGCCUGCACUUGAUUAGUUUGUUGGUGGGGUAAUGGCCUACCAAGACUGUGAUCAAUAGCUGAUUUGAGAGGAUGAUCAGCCACAUUGGGACUGAGACACGGCCCAAACUCCUACGGGAGGCAGCAGUGGGGAAUCUUGCACAAUGGAGGAAACUCUGAUGCAGCGAUGCCGCGUGAGUGAAGAAGGCCUUUGGGUUGUAAAGCUCUUUCGUCGGGGAAGAAAAUGACUGUACCCGAAUAAGAAGGUCCGGCUAACUUCGUGCCAGCAGCCGCGGUAAUACGAAGGGACCUAGCGUAGUUCGGAAUUACUGGGCUUAAAGAGUUCGUAGGUGGUUGAAAAAGUUGGUGGUGAAAUCCCAGAGCUUAACUCUGGAACUGCCAUCAAAACUUUUCAGCUAGAGUAUGAUAGAGGAAAGCAGAAUUUCUAGUGUAGAGGUGAAAUUCGUAGAUAUUAGAAAGAAUACCAAUUGCGAAGGCAGCUUUCUGGAUCAUUACUGACACUGAGGAACGAAAGCAUGGGUAGCGAAGAGGAUUAGAUACCCUCGUAGUCCAUGCCGUAAACGAUGUGUGUUAGACGUUGGAAAUUUAUUUUCAGUGUCGCAGCGAAAGCGAUAAACACACCGCCUGGGGAGUACGACCGCAAGGUUA
This 820-nucleotide ribosomal RNA is filed under the name uncultured marine bacterium. RNAcentral describes it as "bacterial SSU rRNA". It matches the Rfam family "Bacterial small subunit ribosomal RNA", at positions 28 to 896 of the family's 1533-position model. The record is from RNAcentral.